Molecule: ribosomal RNA, 244 nt
Filed under: uncultured Actinomycetales bacterium
Lineage: Bacteria; Bacillati; Actinomycetota; Actinomycetes; Actinomycetales
Description: partial 16S ribosomal RNA
Rfam family: Bacterial small subunit ribosomal RNA
Source: RNAcentral
GCUCGAGUGGCGAACGGGUGAGUAACACGUGAGUAACCUGCCCUUGACUUUGGGAUAACUUCAGGAAACUGGGGCUAAUACCGUAUAGGAGCUCCUGCUGCAUGGUGGGGGUUGGAAAGUUUCGGCGGUUGGGGAUGGACUCGCGGCUUAUCAGCUUGUUGGUGGGGUAGUGGCUUACCAAGGCUUUGACGGGUAGCCGGCCUGAGAGGGUGACCGGCCACAUUGGGACUGAGAUACGGCCCAG